This 413-nucleotide long non-coding RNA is filed under the name Salmo salar (Atlantic salmon). RNAcentral describes it as "lncRNA (ENSSSAG00000111704.1)". Lineage: Eukaryota; Metazoa; Chordata; Actinopteri; Salmoniformes; Salmonidae. The record is from RNAcentral.
GCUGCCUGGGGAUGGCUCGAAAAUGCAUAGCCCCUAACUUUAAAGGGUUGUCACUGAACCCCAACCGCCGUCUGUGUCCAACUCCCCAGCGUCAAGACUCGCCCUCCUGGUUUUGACGCUUGCGUGUCCUGAUGCCGAAUCUGCCUGCCUGACCACUCUGCCUGUUCUGACCUCGAGCUUGCCUAUCCCCUUGUACUGUUUGGACUCGGACCUGUUCACUGAACCCCUGCCUGUCCUGACCUCGAGCCUGCCUAUCCCCUGGUACUGUUUGGACUCUGACCUGGUUUAUGAACGCUCGCCUGUCCCCGACCUGCCUUUUGCCUACCCCUUUUGGUGUAAUAAAUAUCGGAGCUCAACCAUCUGCCUCCUGUGUCUGCAUUUGGGUCUCGCCUUGUGCCCUUAUAGUACGAACU